This 425-nucleotide ribosomal RNA is filed under the name uncultured bacterium. RNAcentral describes it as "bacterial SSU rRNA". It matches the Rfam family "Bacterial small subunit ribosomal RNA", at positions 354 to 796 of the family's 1533-position model. The record is from RNAcentral.
GUAAGGAAUAUUGGACAAUGGGGGAAACCCUGAUCCAGCCAUGCCGCGUGAGUGAAGAAGGCCUUCGGGUUGUAAAGCUCUUUCAGAUGUGAAGAUGAUGACGGUAACAUCAGAAGAAGCUCCGGCUAACUUCGUGCCAGCAGCCGCGGUAAUACGAAGGGAGCGAGCGUUGUUCGGAAUCACUGGGCGUAAAGAGUGCGUAGGCGGUUAUACAAGUCAGGAGUGAAAUCCCAGGGCUCAACCCUGGAAUUGCUUUUGAAACUGUAUAGCUAGAGUCCCGGAGGGGUUAAUGGAAUUCCGAGUGUAGAGGUGAAAUUCGCAGAUAUUCGGAGGAACACCAGUGGCGAAGGCGAUUAACUGGACGGGCACUGACGCUGAGGCACGAAAGCGUGGGGAUCAAACAGGAUUAGAAACCCGGGUAGUCC